UGCGCAUGCGUACUACAUAGGUUCCUGUCAUGAAAGUUUCGCCUGGGUAAACAAUCAAUCUCGUACUUAGGCACGUAUUUCUGUGACCUAGACCUUUACCUUUAUAAUCAUAACAGUCAUUUUCAAUACAUCAGUUAAACUUAAAAGAGAACACGCAGAAUUAGCUUACGGGUUUGUACUGGUAGCUGUUGCCAGUGACACAGCAGAAAAAUAACAAGACUAUAUAUAUAAGACACAAAUUAAUUCAAGCUCUCAUUUGUUGAAUGAAUCUGACGUUGAUCUGACCACCGAUUAGAUUACAAUAGUCACAAUACUUCACAAACCACAAAAGUAACAAAACCAGAAUCUAGACCUGCUCAUAUAACGAGUUACUGUUGCUACACUUCCGUACCUGCCUAACCUGUUGACUCGUAAAACAGCACUAGAUCUACAUUAAAAUGUGCAUGAAAGUUAAGUGCAGCAAAUGUGGCAAGUUCACAUGGCAAGGUUGUGGAGCUCAUGUUGAGCAAGUGAUGGCAGGAGUUCCUCCUGAAGAAAGGUGCCGCUGCCCCAGGGACAAAAAAUAAACUAUAGUAUUUGAUAUUACAUUCCGCAAGAUCUGUUUGAUAUGUAGACCAGCCCUUCUAGGUUAUGUUGACAUAGUGCAGUGAGGAUGCAGUUGGUUGUUUACCUGGGAGAAACUUUAAAAAAAAAAUCAGCUGCAACAUAAACAAAAAACCUCUCACAACUCAGGAAGUUUACAUUAUUUUAAAUUGUAUUGAUCUGUUUUUAUUUCAUCACUUUCUUUUGUAUUAAAUUAGUGAAAAGGUAUUAUGAUGCAGUUUUUUUUUUAUACAUUUGCCUUAUUUAUAAAAAAACUAAUCAGUGCCCAUAAAUUUGGAAAUGCCUUGCCAAGUUUGCAUCUCAGUCAUAUCUUUAUCUUUCAUACUUGUAUCACAAAUUUUCUUUGUUUGUAGUGACCAUAUUACCUGAUAAAACUGACAGCAACCUAAGAAAUUUACUUAAUAAAAAUGAGGAAAACUCUUUAUUCAGUAUAUCUAGUGUUAUUUAAAUGGCUACAUAUAAUUGAACAGUUUAAGUUGUAUUUGAAAUAUGGUGUGAAAUGAAAGCCUUGUUUUGUGUGAAUUUUGAAUCAAAUAUUUUAUCCACCUCCAUCGUAAAGUAAAAUAGUUGAAUCAACAAAAUAAAAAGGAAACAAAAAUUGUGUAUUAUUUUUAUAAACUGAUGUGUGAUAUGCUGUGCUUUUACAAUAUCAGAAUGCACUAUCAAUAAAAAUGUGUUGAAGUAUU
Physella acuta is the source of this 1289-nucleotide long non-coding RNA. RefSeq lists it as uncharacterized. The record is from RefSeq and is a predicted model, not a curated record. Lineage: Eukaryota; Metazoa; Mollusca; Gastropoda; Physidae.